UACUGAACUGAAAAAAAAAAAAAAAAAAAACGAACUGUGGCCCUCAAAACCAAAAACGUACUGAACUGAAAAUUCUGUGUACCGUUACAGGCCUAUCAGUGAACCAACCAUUUAUAAACAGCCACACUGAUGAACUGUUUCAGACCAGUGCCUGCAUCCUUCAAACAUGAAUCUCACACUGUUGAUUUUGCUGUUCUGUGGCUUAACUGUGGCCCAGGAUGUUCAUGAAAAUGUCACAGAAAAGACUGAAACACAACCUUUUUUCCCAUCUGAUAUGUGUGAUCUCCAGAGAAAGAUUGGUGCCAUGAAAGAACAACUGGCAGCUUUGGCAAACAGACAGAACAACAGCGAGAAACGGAUUGAAGACCUGGAAAGGAAAGUGAUUUUCAGUGCAGCUACAGAUGGAAGUGGAGCGGUCGGACCCUUCAACACAGACACAAUCUUAGUAUACAAACUGUGAUGACGAACAUCGGCGAUGCCUACAACCAAACCACAGGUGUGUUUACUACCUCCGUUUCAGGCACUUACUACUUUACCUUCUUUUACCAUGCGGGAAGAGACACCCAGCAACUCUACGUCUCUACAAAAAUGAGCAGCUUGUUGCACGAAGCCAUGAUCACAAAGGGGGGGAUGAUGGGGCUGAUAAUGGAGGCAAUGCAGUAAUUCUACAGCUGCAAAAAGGGGACCGUGUUUGUGCGCUUGCUUGCACACACACACAUUUGGGCAAAGAAUCACAUUACUACCUUCAGUGGUUUCUGAUUCGUUAAGUUUAACCCAUAAAGACCCAGAGUUACUUUUGUGGCACUUCCUAAAUUACCUUUUCUCUUUAUUUGACCUUUCUUAAGUGAUUUAACACAAAUUAUUUUAAUAUUGUUCUCUAGAAGAGAGCAGACAGGUUUCUGAGCUGUUCUGCUGUUUCUGCCUCCCCCACUCUGCUUCCUACUGAUUUGCCCUUGCAGUUGUCUCAGCUGACUUACUUUAACUUUUGAAUCCCUUGCUUGCUGAGCUCUCGAACAGCGAAUAUGGAAUCGAUCAGCUGGUCACUCAGCACAAUUGACAAGAUUUUUUCACCCAGGAAGAUGGGCUCUGGGGAGCCCGCCUGCCCUCACAGAACUUUGGCAGCCGGAUACACCAUUGACGCUUGGGACAAGUGGAGAGUGGUGUGUCUGUCGGUUCUGUCAGUGGAGGAUAUCCAAGAGAUCUAGUUAUUUGGAUUUAUGGUAGCGGGACACCUUCUAAUUCAGUGGUUCCCAACCUUUUUUGGCUCGUGACCCCAUUUUAACAUCACAAAUUUCAGGCGACCCCAGACA
This is a long non-coding RNA of Sphaeramia orbicularis (orbiculate cardinalfish), 1310 nucleotides long. RefSeq lists it as uncharacterized. Lineage: Eukaryota; Metazoa; Chordata; Actinopteri; Kurtiformes; Apogonidae. The transcript has 3 exons. The record is from RefSeq and is a predicted model, not a curated record.